GGGACUACAGGCGCCCGCCAUCACGCCCGGCUGCUUUUUUUGUUUUAGUAGAGAGGAGGUUUCACCGUGUUAGCCAGGAUGGUCUCAAUCUCCUGACCUCGUGAUCCGCCCGCCUCGGCCUCUCAAAGUGCUGGGAUUACACGCGUGAGCCACCGCGCCUGGCCUGAAGAAAGUUAAUAGGAAGAAGAAAAGCUUUUUGAAUGAAUCACUUCUCAUCUUCUCCGAAGUUGGAAGCAUCAAGAAUCUAAAUAAGCAUUUAUGAUGGCUGGCAUGAAUAUACAGGUGAAGACAGAACAAGAAAACAAACCAAGAAUUUCCCCUCACCAGCCACCAGCUCUGCCAGCAACUUGAUCUUAGACUUCCCAGCCUCCGUAACGUCUUCCUCCUAAAAACCUGUAACCUCAAUCUAAUCAUGAGAAAAGACAUCAGGCAAAUCCCAACUGAGGGAGAUUUUACAUAGUACCUGAGCAGUACUCCUCAAAACUGUCAAGGUCAUCAAAAACAAAGAAGUAUGAAAAACUGUCACAGCCAAGAGGAACUUAAGGAAACAUAAUAAUUAAAGCCUCUGCUUAUAAUCUGUCAUGGAUUGGAAAACUAGAAAAAACAGUUUACAGAGUAUAACAAACUUUGGAGGAGUUAAUCGACUCUAAGUAAAAGAGUAUCUAGCACGGCUGUGGAACAAAGGAGAGACUCACAAACUGUUGAAAGAAUAAAUGAAUGAAUGAAUUCUGUUCAUGAGCUUUAAUAAAACAGCUCUGAGUAGUAACAGUGGAUCAAAUUUAGGCUUCUUGAUGCAGGCAUGGUGUAGAUUACUACUUCUGUAUUGUCCCAGGAGCUCAGCACAUUCCUGCAGAGAUGAUAGGAGCUCAUCUGAUACUUGUCAGCUUUGAAUAAACUCCAGUCCCCAAGAGAGAGAAUGAGAAUCACCGGAAUACGAAACUUCCCUGUUGGACUUCCCAACAUUCUUGAAUGCACCAAGAUAGCCUCUUGCUGUGAGAUUAAUAAAUGAAUAAAUGCCUCCAUAUUUUUCAAAUCUGUGAAGUUAACAACAUGUAGAUUUUUUUGCAUAUUUAAAAACUGCAACUAAAUCUUAAUGCCUCUGAAGCAGAUGGAAGAAAAUAAUAGGCUUCCAUUAACUGUGUCAAAUUGUAUAGGUCUUGGCCAUCACUGGUCCUGUUGUGAUGAAGGUUUUUUGCCCUUGGAUAUAAUUUAAUUUUCAAUUCUUCUAAUUAUGGUACUUCAGAACAUCAAUAUUUGAGAUGAACUUCUCUAGUGUCAAGGACUGAUUUGAGUUGUGUAAACCCUGAAUAUCUGAGACAGGUCUCGAUUAUUUUAGAAAGUUUAUUUUGCCAAGGUUGAGGAUGUGUGCCUGUGACACGGCCUCGGGAGGUCCUGAGGACAUGUGCUCAAGGUGGUCAGAGCACAGCUUUGCUUUAUACAUUUUAGAGAGACAUGAGACAUCAACCGACAUAUGUAAGAUGAACAUUGGUUCCAUCUGGAAAGGCGAGACAACUUCAAACGAGGAGGGGGCUUCCAGGUCAUAGGUAGAUAAGAGACAAAUGGCUGCAUUCUUUUGAGUUUCUGAUUAGCCUUUCCAAAGGAGGCAAUUAGAGUGAGCAAAAUGAACAAAAUCAAUUAUUUUGAUUCUGAACAAAAUGGGAGGCUGGUUUUCCCUAAGCAGUUCCCAGCUUGACUUUUCCCUUUAGCUGAGGGAUUUGGGGGGCCCAAGAUUUAUUUUUCUUUCACCGUUGUAUCAAACUACACAGGCGGCCUUGGAAACCAUCACAGUUGAGAGUAGGUAACGCCCAUUUGUUGCAUAGUUUUGUGCUCCACACUCUUAUCUACAAAAUUAUGAAUUUUUUUACAUAUAUUAAUUUCAGAAAAACUAAAAAUAAAACAAAGUAGUUUCAAACUAGUAUUGUUUUUAUAUCUUAAAAAUAAAGCUUUAUAUACUCUCCUUAC
This 1962-nucleotide long non-coding RNA is filed under the name Homo sapiens (human). RNAcentral's name for it is "uncharacterized LOC105376944, transcript variant 10 (LOC105376944)". Lineage: Eukaryota; Metazoa; Chordata; Mammalia; Primates; Hominidae. The record is from RNAcentral.